AUGUGGACUGAUGACCUCAAAGUUUCUGUUCAUAGUGCUAACUUCCACUAUAUAUUAGCUAAUGUAGUUCAUCUAGCUUCUGGGGUCCAAUUUUGUUUGAUUUGUAUAUAUGGCGACCCGUACCGUAGGCAGACUACAGCCAUUUGGAGUUAGAUUUCCAAUUUUGUUUAUGACAAUUUAGGUGCACCCAUGGUGUGUAUGGGUGACCUUAAUGACAUUUUGUACGAUACGGAUGGAUGUAAUGGCAAUGUGAAUUACUUUCGUAUGAAUGCUUUU
RNAcentral lists this ribosomal RNA (276 nucleotides) under Triticum aestivum (bread wheat). RNAcentral's name for it is "partial small subunit ribosomal RNA". The record is from RNAcentral. Lineage: Eukaryota; Viridiplantae; Streptophyta; Magnoliopsida; Poales; Poaceae.